This 580-nucleotide ribosomal RNA is filed under the name Duvalius diniensis melanensis. Its description in RNAcentral is "partial 16S ribosomal RNA". It matches the Rfam family "Bacterial large subunit ribosomal RNA", at positions 1926 to 2762 of the family's 2925-position model. The record is from RNAcentral. Lineage: Eukaryota; Metazoa; Arthropoda; Insecta; Coleoptera; Carabidae.
AAUGGCUGCAGUAAUAUAACUGUACAAAGGUAGCAUAAUCAUUAGUUUUUUAAUUAAAAGCUUGUAUGAAAGGUUGGACGAGGUAAAAUCUGUCUCUUUUUAAUAUAAUUAGAAUUUAAUUUUUAAGUAAAAAAGCUUAAAUUUAUAUAAAAGACGAGAAGACCCUAUAGAGUUUAAUAAUUUAUUUUAAAUAAUUAAUUUAGAUUUAUUAAUUUUAUUUAUUAUAUAAUUAUUUUAUUGGGGUAAUAAAAAGAUAAAUAUAAUUCUUUUUUUUAUUUUACAUUAAUGUAUGAAUUAAUGAUCCAUUUUUAUGAUUAAAAGAUUAAAUUACCUUAGGGAUAACAGCGUAAUUUUUUUAAAGAGUUCAUAUCGAUAAAAAAGUUUGCGACCUCGAUGUUGGAUUAAAGAUUAGUUUAGGUGUAGAAGUUUAAAUUUUUGGUCUGUUCGACCAUUAAAUCUUUACAUGAUCUGAGUUCAAACCGGUGUAAGCCAGGUUGGUUUCUAUCUUUAUAAAAUUUUUAUAUUUUAGUACGAAAGGACCAAAUAUUUAAUAUAUUAAUAUUUAAUUAUUUUUGAAUAU